This 254-nucleotide ribosomal RNA is filed under the name uncultured bacterium. Its description in RNAcentral is "partial 16S ribosomal RNA". It matches the Rfam family "Bacterial small subunit ribosomal RNA", at positions 524 to 776 of the family's 1533-position model. The record is from RNAcentral.
UACGUAGGGUCCGAGCGUUGUCCGGAAUUAUUGGGCGUAAAGGGCUCGUAGGCGGUUCGUCACGUCGGGAGUGAAAACUCGGAGCUCAACUCCGAGCCUGCUUCCGAUACGGGCAGACUAGAGGUAGGCAGGGGAGAGCGGAACUCCUGGUGUAGCGGUGGAAUGCGCAGAUAUCAGGAAGAACAGCCGGUGGCGAAGGCGGCUCUCUGGGCCUUACCUGACGCUGAGGAGCGAAAGCGUGGGGAGCAAACAGG